Tephrocybe rancida is the source of this 95-nucleotide non-coding RNA. Lineage: Eukaryota; Fungi; Basidiomycota; Agaricomycetes; Agaricales; Lyophyllaceae. The record is from the annotation of a GenBank genome assembly.
GGCGCUGUAGUGUAGCGCCAACACACGAGGCUACACAUAGACCUCUCUCGAUUUCUGUCGUCCUCGAAACCCAGGUUCAAGUCCUGGCAGCGCCU